CCCUUAGAUGUUCGGAGCUGCACGCGCGCUACACUGAAGGAAGCAGCGUGUUAGAGUACCUGGCUUGGAAGAGCUGGGUAAUCCGGUGAAUGUCCUUCGUGAUUGGGAUAGGCACUUGUAAUUAUUUGCCUUGAACGAGGAAUACCUAGUAAGCGCGAGUCAUCAGCUCGUGCUGAUUACGUCCCUGCCCUUUGUACACACCGCCCGUCGCUCCUACCGAUUGAGUGCUCAGGUGAAUAAUUCGGACUGCAGCAAUGUUUGGAUCCCGAACGUUGCAGCGGAAAGUUUAGUGAACCUUAUCACUUAGAGGAAGGAGAAGUCGUAACA
Molecule: ribosomal RNA, 327 nt
Filed under: uncultured eukaryote
Lineage: Eukaryota
Description: partial 18S ribosomal RNA
Rfam family: Eukaryotic small subunit ribosomal RNA
Source: RNAcentral